CGAAGGGGGCUAGCGUUGUUCGGAAUUACUGGGCGUAAAGCGAGUGUAGGUGGUUUUCCAAGUUGGAUGUGAAAGCCUUGAGCUCAACUCAAGAAAUGCAUUCAGGACUGGAAGACUAGAGGACCGGAGAGGAUAGUGGAAUUCCCAGUGUAGUGGUGAAAUACGUAGAGAUUGGGAAGAACACCAGUGGCGAAGGCGGCUAUCUGGACGGUUUCUGACACUAAGACUCGAAAGCGUGGGGAGCAAACAGGAUUAGAUACCCUGGUAGUCCACGCCGUAAACGAUGGGUGCUAGACGUUGGCGAGCUUGCUCGUCAGUGUCGCAGCUAACGCGUUAAGCACCCCGCCUGGGGAGUACGGCCGCAAGGUUG
Molecule: ribosomal RNA, 370 nt
Filed under: uncultured organism
Description: bacterial SSU rRNA
Rfam family: Bacterial small subunit ribosomal RNA
Source: RNAcentral